This 81-nucleotide transfer RNA is filed under the name Treponema sp. Its description in RNAcentral is "tRNA-Tyr". It matches the Rfam family "tRNA". Rfam says of the family: Transfer RNA (tRNA) molecules are approximately 80 nucleotides in length. Their secondary structure includes four short double-helical elements and three loops (D, anti-codon, and T loops). Further hydrogen bonds mediate the characteristic L-shaped molecular structure. tRNAs have two regions of fundamental functional importance: the anti-codon, which is responsible for specific mRNA codon recognition, and the 3' end, to which the tRNAs corresponding amino acid is attached (by aminoacyl-tRNA synthetases). tRNAs cope with the degeneracy of the genetic code in two manners: having more than one tRNA (with a specific anti-codon) for a particular amino acid; and 'wobble' base-pairing, i.e. permitting non-standard base-pairing at the 3rd anti-codon position. RNAcentral also lists the same sequence under 1 other name. The record is from RNAcentral. Lineage: Bacteria; Pseudomonadati; Spirochaetota; Spirochaetia; Treponematales; Treponemataceae.
GGGGAGUUCGCAUAGCGGCAAUUGCGGCGGACUGUAAAUCCGCUCCUUAUAGGUUCGGGGGUCCGAGUCCCUCACUCCCCA